AUCCACAAUUUCACAUUUUAAUAUAUAUAACAAUAUUAAUAAAUUUCCGCUAUAUACUCUAACCCUAUCUCAUCCAACCAAUUAAAAUCCUAAUUAUUUUCUCUCCCUGCUUUCCCUAUUCUUUCCAUCCUCUCCUUCUGUCUCUGUAUACUCUCGGUCACACAUGGCCAUCGUAGCUAGAGACCACAUCGAAGAUCGUCACUGUCCCGUCCGCUCUCUCUAUCCUCCUAGUCACACAUGUCUGUAGUCGUUGGACACUGCACUGGAGAUUGUCGUUGUGAGCAGAGAGCUCCGAUCCCCUCUUCUCCCUCUUCUUUCUCUCUGUCUGUCUCUCUCUAUUCUCUCCGUCACAAUGGUCGCCAUCAUUAAUACUACAGCAGAGCUUGUCGCUGUGAGCAGUAGUCGCUUCGCACGAUUCUAGUGUCGGUGCCUCUGCGCUCGAUCCACGGUUCACAGGUACACAUAGAUCGCGGCAAUCCAUGGUUUCGCCUUUGUGCUUGAUCCGUGUUUCACCAAGUUGAAGUCAGUGGGUCAACCCAUGUAUGGGAUUUUAGUGUUUGAUAAGGCUGUGGUGGUGUAGGUAUUCCGAUCUAUGGGAGGUUAUCUAAUAUGCAGGCGACGGUUGUGUGGUGGUGGUCGUUUUGUUGUUGUUGUUUGCGGUGGUUAUGGUGAUGUUGUGUCACGGGUGGAUUUGUGUGGUGUAAGCAUUGGUUAUGUGAUAGUGUGGUUCAGGUGACAAUUACACGUUGGUGGUCAUUUUGAAGAGGUUGGACUCAGCGAGUUAGGUGAGUCCUGACUGAUGAGUUCGAAUGGGUGUAAGAGUGAAUAGAUGAGUUUUGGGCUAGGAAACUUGCACAGGGAUGUUGAAGGGAAGCAGGUGGUGGUUGGUGGCUGGCUUGGCUUAAUGUGGUAGAUGGUGGGUAGCGAUGGUGAUUUUCAUGUUGGUGAUGGUGGUGUUGGGUGGUUGUGAUGGUGUUGUUGUGGGUGUGGGUAGUGUUUGUAACCAAGUAUUGUGGUGGAAUGGGAUCGAGAUCGAGUGUUUGGUGUACGUGACCAAUUAUGUAGUUCCUUAUGACUAUUUAUUAAACUAUUACUGUAAAAUUCAAUAAUUU
RNAcentral lists this long non-coding RNA (1112 nucleotides) under Olea europaea subsp. europaea. The record is from RNAcentral. Lineage: Eukaryota; Viridiplantae; Streptophyta; Magnoliopsida; Lamiales; Oleaceae.